RNAcentral lists this small RNA (94 nucleotides) under Arabidopsis thaliana (thale cress). Its description in RNAcentral is "ATSL077500". Lineage: Eukaryota; Viridiplantae; Streptophyta; Magnoliopsida; Brassicales; Brassicaceae. The record is from RNAcentral.
AAGAAAAUAACUAAAACUUAGACUUUGAAUGGUUAUAGCGGUUUAAGAAGACAAAAAUGUCUAUAUACCAAAUCGUGUUUUAUUUACUAUUUAU